CUUGAGCCAGGGAUGGAGAGGGCAGUGUCUGCACGCUCUGCUGCUGUGGUCAUUCUCAGACAUGGCACCUAAUCUCUCCUCCUUCCCUCUGAGCAGAUGCAGGAACUGGAGCAGAGGCUGCUAGAGGCUGAGGAGAGAGCGGAGAAGGCAGAGACCCAGGUGGGUGUGAUGGAAGAGAAGGUAAAACUGUCCAAUCUUAGGGAUGUGGACUCCACAGGCAGCCUGCCCCAGAAGUACCAAGAAUUGCUGAAAGCCAUGCAGGGCAAAGUAGAGCUCAUCGACCAGCUGGAGGCACAGCUGGAGAAGCAGAAGCAGAUGAGAGCCGAGGAAGCAAAAAUGGUUCAGAAGAAAGCUGCAAAGAUCAAGGAGUGGGUGGCACUAAAGUUAACGGAGGUCAGUCGGAAGCUCCGCUCAGGGGCCUGGCCGGAGGUGUAGCUGGGCUU
This 443-nucleotide long non-coding RNA is filed under the name Fukomys damarensis (Damara mole-rat). Its description in RNAcentral is "lncRNA (ENSFDAG00000030555.1)". Lineage: Eukaryota; Metazoa; Chordata; Mammalia; Rodentia; Bathyergidae. The record is from RNAcentral.